Long non-coding RNA from Cornus florida, 785 nucleotides. RefSeq lists it as uncharacterized. NCBI's taxonomy places the organism in Eukaryota, Viridiplantae, Streptophyta, Magnoliopsida, Cornales, Cornaceae. The transcript has 3 exons. The record is from RefSeq and is a predicted model, not a curated record.
AUCAAAAUCCAGAAGCACAAGCACAAUUGGAUCUUUAACACGCCUGCUGAUGCUGAUGUCGCGAAGAAGUUGUACGCCUCGCCAUCUGAUUUUGCUGCGGAUGUGAGAUUGACCUUCAACAAUGCCAUUGCCGACCAGCUCUUGGCUCGAUUUGAGGACUUGUUUCGACCCAUAAACGAGAAUUUUGAUGAUUGUGAUCAUAAAGAACAGAUUGUUCCUGCUGAUGAAUUACAGGGGAGUUCAUGGAAUCACACUCCAACCCCAGAAAGAGCAAAGAAGCCUAAAGCAUAGGUGCACAGAGAGUCGAAAUGCCUGCUCUGUAGUUGUGGGUUUGGGGCGCGGUGGCUGGGUGUGGCAGGCUGUGGUGGUGGUUGGGUGUGGCACGAUGUGGUGGCGGUGAAGAAGAUGAUAGAGAGCGAAGGAAUACUUAGAUGGAUGAGGACAAUAAGUACACAGGGAAGGGGUCCUUGACUCCAAUUGGCAAAAUAGGGAAGCGUCAUGGCAAGGGCAAGAUCAGGAGGAAGCACAUUUAACUGUGUAUAAUUGGCAACGGUAUCACUGGCUUCAAUGUUGCAUUGUCUGCAAUGUUCUAUACGGUGAGACGUUACUUUAAAUAGUUGAGACAUUACUAUUGGAACAAGAGUUGUCAUUGACACUAAAUGCUAAUUAGUAGACUUUAUAGUAGAAACUUGUUUAUUUGAAUGAAAGUCGUUUUGCUAUAUUCAUGAACAAAUCAGUAUUUUUGUCGUGCUUAUUGACUGCUAAUCAUUGUUCAACCGGAUUAA